Molecule: ribosomal RNA, 473 nt
Filed under: uncultured bacterium
Lineage: Bacteria
Description: partial 16S ribosomal RNA
Rfam family: Bacterial small subunit ribosomal RNA
Source: RNAcentral
GACGAACGCUGGCGGCGUGCUUAACACAUGCAAGUCGAACGGUAAGGCCCUUCGGGGUACACGAGUGGCGAACGGGUGAGUAACACGUGGGUGAUCUGCCCUGCACUUCGGGAUAAGCCUGGGAAACUGGGUCUAAUACCGGAUAGGACUCCGGACUGCAUGGUCUGGGGUGGAAAGCUUUUGCGGUGUGGGAUGGGCCCGCGGCCUAUCAGCUUGUUGGUGGGGUGACGGCCUACCAAGGCAUCGACGGGUAGCUGGUCUGAGAGGGUGAUCAGCCACACUGGGACUGAGACACGGCCCAGACUCCUACGGGAGGCAGCGGUGGGGAAUCUUGUGCAAUGGGCGAAAGCCUGACACAGCAACGCCGCGUGCGGGAAGAAGGCCUUCGGGUCGUAAACCGCUUUCAGCAGGAACGAAAAUGACGGUACCUGCAGAAGAAGGUGCGGCCAACUACGUGCCAGCAGCCGCCGUAA